Molecule: ribosomal RNA, 882 nt
Filed under: Penicillium oxalicum
Lineage: Eukaryota; Fungi; Ascomycota; Eurotiomycetes; Eurotiales; Aspergillaceae
Description: LSU rRNA
Rfam family: Eukaryotic large subunit ribosomal RNA
Source: RNAcentral
AGCAUAUCAAUAAGCGGAGGAAAAGAAACCAACAGGGAUUGCCUCAGUAACGGCGAGUGAAGCGGCAAGAGCUCAAAUUUGAAAGCUGGCUCCUUCGGGGUCCGCAUUGUAAUUUGCAGAGGAUGCUUCGGGAGCGGCCCCCAUCUAAGUGCCCUGGAACGGGCCGUCAUAGAGGGUGAAAAUCCCGUCUGGGAUGGGGUGUCCGCGCCCGUGUGAAGCUCCUUCGACGAGUCGAGUUGUUUGGGAAUGCAGCUCUAAAUGGGUGGUAAAUUUCAUCUAAAGCUAAAUAUUGGCCGGAGACCGAUAGCGCACAAGUAGAGUGAUCGAAAGAUGAAAAGCACUUUGAAAAGAGAGUUAAACAGCACGUGAAAUUGUUGAAAGGGAAGCGCUUGCGACCAGACUCGCCCACGGGGUUCAGCCGGCAUUCGUGCCGGUGUACUUCCCCGCGGGCGGGCCAGCGUCGGUUUGGGCGGCCGGUCAAAGGCCCUCGGAAUGUAACGCCCCCCGGGGCGUCUUAUAGCCGAGGGUGCCAUGCGGCCAGCCCAGACCGAGGAACGCGCUUCGGCUCGGACGCUGGCAUAAUGGUCGUAAGCGACCCGUCUUGAAACACGGACCAAGGAGUCUAACAUCUACGCGAGUGUUCGGGUGUCAAACCCGUGCGCGCAGUGAAAGCGAACGGAGGUGGGAACCCCUCGGGGUGCACCAUCGACCGAUCCUGAUGUCUUCGGAUGGAUUUGAGUAUGAGCGUAGCUGUUGGGACCCGAAAGAUGGUGAACUAUGCCUGAAUAGGGUGAAGCCAGAGGAAACUCUGGUGGAGGCUCGCAGCGGUUCUGACGUGCAAAUCGAUCGUCAAAUUUGGGUAUAGGGGCGAAAGACUAAUCG